This 78-nucleotide transfer RNA is filed under the name Methanomassiliicoccales archaeon. Its description in RNAcentral is "tRNA-Arg". It matches the Rfam family "tRNA". Rfam says of the family: Transfer RNA (tRNA) molecules are approximately 80 nucleotides in length. Lineage: Archaea; Methanobacteriati; Thermoplasmatota; Thermoplasmata; Methanomassiliicoccales. The record is from RNAcentral.
GGGCCCGUGGCUUAGCCUGGAUAUAGCGCCGGCCUUCUAAGCCGGAUGUCUCGGGUUCGAAUCCCGACGGGCCCGCCA